Molecule: long non-coding RNA, 349 nt
Organism: Conger conger (European conger)
Lineage: Eukaryota; Metazoa; Chordata; Actinopteri; Anguilliformes; Congridae
Exons: 3
Source: RefSeq, a predicted model, not a curated record
GUUCCUGCAGCCACACUGCCCCCCUCUGCUGUUCAAAGUGGCGGGGGUUCACCACACAGCAGCUCCGUCAGACCGACGGGAACUGCCUUCAGUGCUGAGCAAGAAUGGAGAGUCCCUUUCUCCACACCUCCCUAUCAAUCAAUGAAAACUGCCACAGUCCCAUUGACAUUGGAUGGAAACAACGACAGCCUUGUUGUGGUUGGUGCAGCUCUGGGUGUGUUGGCGUGUCUAAUUAUGGCUGCUCUUGCGGUCCUUCUCAGAACAAGAUCAGUUUCAAAAUCACUUGGUAAGACCAACCACCAUACACAGUUUGGAAAACGUUACUUAUCAAAACCAUCCGACAUUUUAC